This 460-nucleotide ribosomal RNA is filed under the name uncultured bacterium. RNAcentral's name for it is "partial 16S ribosomal RNA". It matches the Rfam family "Bacterial small subunit ribosomal RNA", at positions 338 to 795 of the family's 1533-position model. The record is from RNAcentral.
CCUACGGGGGGCUGCAGUGAGGAAUAUUGGUCAAUGGGCGCGAGCCUGAACCAGCCAAGUCGCGUGAGGGAAGACGGCCCUACGGGUUGUAAACCUCUUUUGCCGGGGAGCAACGGGCGCCACGUGUGGCGCCCCUGAGAGUACCCGGAGAAAAAGCAUCGACUAACUCCGUGCCAGCAGCCGCGGUAAUACGGGGGAUGCGAGCGUUAUCCGGAUUUAUUGGGUUUAAGGGGUGCGUAGGGGGAGCGUAAAGUCAGUGGUCAAAUUGAGGGGCUCAACCCCUUCCCGCCAUUGAAACUGGCGCUCUUGAGUGGAAGAGAAGUAUGCGGAAUGCGUGGUGUAGCGGUGAAAUGCAUAGAGAUCACGCAGAACCCCGAUUGCGAAGGCAGCAUGCCGGCUUCCAACUGACGCUGAAGCACGAAAGCGUGGGGAUCGAACAGGAUUAGAUACCCGUGUAGUC